GAUCCUGGCUCAGGAUGAACGCUGGCGGCAUGCCUAAGACAUGCAAGUCGUACGAGAAGGCCCAUUGAAGUUUGAGUGCUUGCACAAUUUCUGAUUUGGAUUUUCCUUCUAGUGGCGGACGGGUGAGUAACACGUGGGUGACCUACCUUUGAGUCUGGGAUAACUACUGGAAACGGUAGCUAAUACCGAAUAACAUACAGUUUCGUUUCUGUAUUAAAAGGCGCUUUCAAGCGUCGCUCUUAGAUGGG
Molecule: ribosomal RNA, 248 nt
Filed under: uncultured bacterium
Lineage: Bacteria
Description: partial 16S ribosomal RNA
Rfam family: Bacterial small subunit ribosomal RNA
Source: RNAcentral